This 405-nucleotide ribosomal RNA is filed under the name uncultured bacterium. Its description in RNAcentral is "partial 16S ribosomal RNA". It matches the Rfam family "Bacterial small subunit ribosomal RNA", at positions 30 to 526 of the family's 1533-position model. The record is from RNAcentral.
AUUGAACGCUAGCGGGAUGCCUUACACAUGCAAGUCGAACGAGUGGCGGACGGGUGAGUACUAUAUUGGAACGUGCCCAGCAGCGGGGGAUAACUACUCGAAAGAGUGGCUAUUACCGCUUACUAUGGGAGCGGACGUUGUCGGAUUAGCGAGGUGGGGGGGUAAAGGCGGACCAAGGCAACGAUCCGGAGCUGGUUUGAGAGGACGACCAGCCACACUGGGACUGAGACACGGCCCAGACUCCUACGGGAGGCAGCAGUGGGGAAUGUAGGACAAUGGGGGAAGCCCUGAUCCAGCCAUCCCGCGUGUAUGAGAGGGCCUUCAGGUUGUAAAGUACUUUUGGCAGAGAAGCGGUAUCUGCAGAAUAAGCGCCGGCUAACUACGUGCCAGCAGCCGCGGUAAUUC